CAUUAAAAAUUUCUUAAUCUUUCUUGAUCUGAUCUAUUCAAUCCUUAGAUAUAAUAUUUCUCUGAAAGAACUAAACAAGUACCUCCGACAUGUCGCUUAAUUAAAUUUAUGCAAAUAAAUUUGUCAAUACGAGUUUCAUACAGUUAUUCAGCAUUAAACUUCAAGGAUGAUAGCUUUUAUAAUCACAGUAAUAAUAAUAUUUUAACGAAAAUGCUGUUUUAAGCAUGUUUGCAGGUUGUAAUAUCCGAAUAACCUUGGAUCACGUAAUUGUGGAUGUGCAAAGUAGUAAUUACAUCUCGUCUUAUCAUAAGGAAACGAUCGUCGAUGUAAUAUUAAGAAUGUCUGUUUUAUUUUAUGAUGUUUUCAAACGGCAUGAUCCAAACAAUUUAGUCGUAUCGUUCACGAAGCUAUGUACUACGUACACGAGCACGUUCACGAUUUUUAAGAACAUCGAUAAACAUCGUGAUUUGAGCGGUAGCCUUGAGAUUCUUCGUGAAGCAACUACUUUCGUUCGUCAAUACUUUUAGACGCAAACUUACCGUACUUUCACUUCCACGAAAUCUCACUUCUAAUAAUUAGUCAUCGGAGUUUAUUGAACUAACGUGACUGACCAAUGAAAAGCAAGAGAGAUCGAUCAGUGAUGAUAUUAAAAGAAAAUAGGCGAAACAAAUUAAUAAGAUUUAUGAAUUAUUCCUUGACAAACUUCAAUCUGUCCGUCUUAGUUUGUAACAAGCAACAUGUUUCUGUAGGGUUAAAUUUCAAUGUGAUCGAUCGCGGUAAUGUUUCAUUUCUCUGUAUGUUCUAUAAGUCGGUUUUCAAUUUCUUCUCUCGAUUCUCGUGUACCGAAGUUUCUGACUACCUGUUGAAAAUAUGAGCCUCACCAGGUUACGCAACGAAUUCUACUUAUCAUUAUUGCUGGUGCAUCCUCGACCUGUUGCGCAUUUGUACACGUAACGAUUCUUCUAUUCCAAUAACGUGGAAUCUUUUCCAUAUUGUAUCCUUUCGAUUCUGUAUCCAGGUACCGUGGUAAUUCAUGAAUUUUUGUACCUCUGAAGAUCAUCGCACCGCACUGAUCUACGAAUUUUUGAGUUGUAUUAAAAAUUUAUUUUUACCUUUAUAUCAAAAAUGCAUUUUACAACAGUAAUAUUUUCAUAGAUAAUAAUUGCAUAAUAAAUUAUUGUCGUGUCUAAAAUUCUGAUAUUUUAAUUAAAAAGUACCAUUCCGUAAGAAUACCCUAAUUCGGCAUUUAUUUUACAUCAUUUUUCAUAUCGUUUAUAUAGUAUAUACUGCGCAUGCACCAUUUAAACGAUAUGAGAAAUUAUGGAAAGUAAAUACUCUAAUUAAAUGCAUACUAUCAUAACGAUUGAACUUCCUCUAAACGAUUUACGAGCCGGUUAGCAACAUUUCGUCGACAUUUACAUUAGAGUAGCGGUUCGAUAACGAAAGAUCAGGGGUCGGGAUUGAUAAAGGUUGAUAGUGGGCCCCGAUAGACGUAAGUGGUCAGUUCCUUCGGUGUCGCAGGCAAAUAAACUACAACUUUCCUCGUCUCGUAUUGCUUACACGUCUAAGAAACGCGUGUUGCUCAUUCAGGAACUAAACGUCAAUUAAUUAGACGUUUUGAUAGCUUUAUUCGAUCGAAUUUCUACUAUUUAUCUGUGAUUAACGAGUAAUAAUGUGCCACUGAAUAGUUACUUGAAAAUAUGAACAGCGAUGGAAAUUGUCAUACCAGGAAGUAUAGCUACUUAUUUGAUAACGUUUAGUGUUCGUGUAAGAAAUGUCGAGUAGGAAUAGUUAAUUCGUUUCGAAGCCAGUUCAAAUAGCCAGUUUUAUACUACCAGAUGAUGAUCGUGCCAUCCCCCGGAUCCAUAUGGGAUUAUCCAUAUUUGAACCAGGUCAGCAGAAUGAUGGGCUUGGUAUAUGGGACAGGACCAAAACCUGAGCAAGAUUUAUUCCCUCCCAAGAUUCGAAUUCCAGAGACACAUGUAAUGUCCCCAUUCCAUACCCUUUCACCAUUUGGAUAUUUCAGUGCAUUCACCCAUAGCCUUUGAUCGAACAAUAUCACAUCUUCCCAAUUUUCUUACAAUUAAUUUUCUAGAGAAUUUUUGUACUCUGGUAAAUGUCUCGAGGUAAAUGAAAUUUCGUCUAUAUUAUAUAUGAAAAUGGAAAACUUGAAGAAGCAAGGAAUGUCAUGGAUUACCGCUAAGAAUCAUUGGAAACGCGGUGCACACGUCCCUCCGCACAAUCGAGCACAAUUGUGAAAUAAUCAAUAAUUUGGAGUGACUGCAUCGUCACGCUGGUUGCAUUUCAGGCUCGUCCAAUUUAUUACAAAUUCUAUUCACGGCUUCUACCCACACUGAAUAUUUAUAGAUGCCGUUGGAUCCUUUUUUCUUCGGCUCCUUUUUCUACCUUUUUCGAAAGAAGUGGAGGCCUGAUCGAUUAGCAUACAUUCGAGCGGACCGUUAUGUUAUGUUAG
This is an RNA transcript of Bombus terrestris (buff-tailed bumblebee), 2473 nucleotides long. RefSeq lists it as uncharacterized. The transcript is spliced from 3 exons. Lineage: Eukaryota; Metazoa; Arthropoda; Insecta; Hymenoptera; Apidae. The record is from RefSeq and is a predicted model, not a curated record.